Molecule: unclassified non-coding RNA, 359 nt
Filed under: uncultured fungus
Lineage: Eukaryota; Fungi
Description: partial contains 5.8S ribosomal RNA and internal transcribed spacer 2
Rfam family: 5.8S ribosomal RNA (bases 1-134)
Source: RNAcentral
UGGUUCUGGCAUCGAUGAAGAACGCAGCGAAAUGCGAUAAGUAAUGCGAAUUGCAGAAUUCCAGUGAGUCAUCGAAUCUUUGAACGCACAUUGCGCCCAUUGGUAUUCCGAUGGGCAUGCCUGUUCGAGCGUCAUUAUCAACCCUCAAGCCCCCUGGCUUGGUGUUGGAGACUGGCUAGGCGUCCGCGCCCAGGGCCUCUCCCAAAGACAAUGACGGCGGCGACGACGACCCCCGGUACACUGAGCUUUUAACUGAGCACGUGCUGGACGGGCCCCGUGGCCACGGUCUGCCUCCCCUCAGGGAGAAACGGAUUCUAUCCACCAAGGUUGACCUCGGAUCAGGUAGGGAUACCCGCUGA